CAAGGUGGCCGGGUAGCCGCCGUUCGCUUCGGCGAAGGGAGGAAAGUCCGGACUCCUCCGGGCAAGCAUGCUGGGUAACGCCCAGGCGGGGAAACCCGACGGAAAGUGCCACAGAAAACAUACCGCCGGUCGCAAGGCCGGUAAGGGCGAACCGGUGCGGUAAGAGCGCACCGCUCCAGCGGUAACGGUGGAGGCAGGGAAAACCCCAUGUGGAGCAAGACCAAAUAGGGGGACGCAGGCGCCCGGACAGUCCCCGGGUUGGUCGCUUGAGCCGUCUGGUAACGGGCGGCCUAGAGAGAUGGCUACUGCCCGCUUCGGCGGGUACAGAAUCCGGCUUAUACGCCACCUUGCCAA
Molecule: RNase P RNA, 354 nt
Filed under: Dehalococcoidia bacterium
Lineage: Bacteria; Bacillati; Chloroflexota; Dehalococcoidia
Description: RNase P RNA component class A
Rfam family: Bacterial RNase P class A
About the family: Ribonuclease P (RNase P) is a ubiquitous endoribonuclease, found in archaea, bacteria and eukarya as well as chloroplasts and mitochondria. Its best characterised activity is the generation of mature 5'-ends of tRNAs by cleaving the 5'-leader elements of precursor-tRNAs.
Source: RNAcentral